This 262-nucleotide ribosomal RNA is filed under the name uncultured bacterium. RNAcentral's name for it is "partial 16S ribosomal RNA". It matches the Rfam family "Bacterial small subunit ribosomal RNA", at positions 793 to 1055 of the family's 1533-position model. The record is from RNAcentral.
GUCCACGCCGUAAACGAUGAGCACUAGGUGUCGCGGGUAUUGACCCCUGCGGUGCCGACGCUAACGCAUUAAGUGCUCCGCCUGGGGACUACGGCCGCAAGGCUAAAACUCAAAGGAAUUGACGGGGCCCGCACAAGCGGUGGAGCAUGUGGUUCAAUUCGACGCAACGCGAAGAACCUUACCAAGGCUUGACAUAUACGAGAACGCUGCAGAAAUGUAGAACUCUUUGGACACUCGUAUACAGGUGGUGCAUGGUUGUCGU